GAUUCAGCGCGCCCCGUGGGGUUAUGACGGCCCUCGGGUUGUAAACCGCUUUCAGCAGGGAAGAAACUGACGGUACCUGCAGAAGAAGGUGCGGCCAACUACGUGCCAGCAGCCGCGGUGACACGUAGGCACCAAGCGUUGUCCGGAUUUAUUGGGCGUAAAGAGCUCGUAGGCGGUUUAGUAAGUCGGGUGUGAAAACUCUGGGCUUAACCCAGAGAGGCCACCCGAUACUGCUAUGACUUGAGUACGGUAGGGGAGCGGGGAAUUCCUGGUGUAGCGGUGAAAUGCGCAGAUAUCAGGAAGAACACCGGUGGCGAAGGCGCCGCUCUGGGCCGAAACUGACGCUGAGGAGCGAAAGCGUGGGUAGCAAACAGGAUUAGAUACCCUGGUAGUCCACGCCGUAAACGUUGGGCACUAGGUGUGGGUCUCAACUAACGAGAUCCGCGCCGUAGCUAACGCAUUAAGUGCCCCGCCUGGGGAGUACGGUCGCAAGACUAAAACUCAAAGGAAUUGACGGAC
This 519-nucleotide ribosomal RNA is filed under the name uncultured Ilumatobacter sp. Its description in RNAcentral is "bacterial SSU rRNA". It matches the Rfam family "Bacterial small subunit ribosomal RNA", at positions 385 to 918 of the family's 1533-position model. Lineage: Bacteria; Bacillati; Actinomycetota; Acidimicrobiia; Acidimicrobiales; Ilumatobacteraceae. The record is from RNAcentral.